GAUAAUGAAGUAAAAAUUACAUUUAGCUUCGACCUAAAAAUUAGGGCUAUUUUAUGUAGCCUCUUAUCU
This 69-nucleotide transfer RNA is filed under the name Megacopta lobata. RNAcentral describes it as "tRNA-Arg". The record is from RNAcentral. Lineage: Eukaryota; Metazoa; Arthropoda; Insecta; Hemiptera; Plataspidae.